RNAcentral lists this ribosomal RNA (253 nucleotides) under uncultured bacterium. RNAcentral describes it as "partial 16S ribosomal RNA". It matches the Rfam family "Bacterial small subunit ribosomal RNA", at positions 524 to 776 of the family's 1533-position model. The record is from RNAcentral.
UACAGAGGUCUCAAGCGUUGUUCGGAUUCAUUGGGCGUAAAGCGUGCGCAGGCGGCUUUGCAAGACAGAUGUGAAAUCCCCGGGCUCAACCUGGGAACUGCAUUUGUGACUGCAUGGCUAGAGUACGGUAGAGGGGGAUGGAAUUCCGCGUGUAGCAGUGAAAUGCGUAGAUAUGCGGAGGAACACCGAUGGCGAAGGCAAUCCCCUGGGCCUGCACUGACGCUGAGGUGCGAAAGCGUGGGGAGCAAACAGG